GGGGUUGUGGCUCAGUGGUAGAGCACUUGCCUAUCACGACAUGCAAGGCCCUGGGUUCGAUCCUCAGCACCACA
This 74-nucleotide transfer RNA is filed under the name Marmota monax (woodchuck). RNAcentral's name for it is "tRNA.Asp". It matches the Rfam family "tRNA". From Rfam's summary of the family: Transfer RNA (tRNA) molecules are approximately 80 nucleotides in length. Their secondary structure includes four short double-helical elements and three loops (D, anti-codon, and T loops). The record is from RNAcentral. Lineage: Eukaryota; Metazoa; Chordata; Mammalia; Rodentia; Sciuridae.